Molecule: ribosomal RNA, 568 nt
Filed under: uncultured archaeon
Lineage: Archaea
Description: bacterial SSU rRNA
Rfam family: Archaeal small subunit ribosomal RNA
Source: RNAcentral
CGCGAAUUCGCCCUUCGGGGUGCACCAGGCGCGAAAACUUUACAAUGCCGGCAACGGCGAUAAGGGAACCUCGAGUGCCAGGUUACAAAUCUGGCUGUCGUGAUGCCUAAAAAGCAUCGCAUAGCAAGGGCCGGGCAAGACCGGUGCCAGCCGCCGCGGUAACACCGGCGGCUCGAGUGGUAACCGUUAUUAUUGGGUCUAAAGGGUCUGUAGCCGGCCGGAUAAGUCUCUUGGGAAAUCUGGCAGCUUAACUGUCAGGCUUUCAGGAGAUACUGUCUGGCUCGAGGCCGGGAGAGGUGAGAGGUACUUCAGGGGUAGGGGUGAAAUCUUGUAAUCCUUGAAGGACCACCAGUGGCGAAGGCGUCUCACCAGAACGGACCUGACGGCAAGGGACGAAAGCUAGGGGCACGAACCGGAUUAGAUACCCGGGUAGUCCUAGCCGUAAACGAUACUCGCUAGGUGUCGGCCACGGUGCGACCGUGGUCGGUGCCGUAGGGAAGCCGUGAAGCGAGCCACCUGGGAAGUACGGCCGCAAGGCUGAAACUUAAAGGAAUUGGCGGGGGAGCAC